GACGAACGCUGGCGGCGUGCCUAAUACAUGCAAGUAGAACGCUGAAGGAGGAGCUUGCUUCUCUGGAUGAGUUGCGAACGGGUGAGUAACGCGUAGGUAACCUGCCUGGUAGCGGGGGAUAACUAUUGGAAACGAUAGCCAAUACCGCAUAACAGUAGAUAUCGCAUGAUAGCUGCUUGAAAGGUGCAAUUGCACCACUACCAGAUGGACCUGCGUUGUAUUAGCUAGUUGGUGAGGUAACGGCUCACCAAGGCGACGAUACAUAGCCGACCUGAGAGGGUGAUCGGCCACACUGGGACUGAGACACGGCCCAGACUCCUACGGGAGGCAGCAGUAGGGAAUCUUCGGCAAUGGACGGAAGUCUGACCGAGCAACGCCGCGUGAGUGAAGAAGGUUUUCGGAUCGUAAAGCUCUGUUGUAAGAGAAGAACGAGUGUGAGAGUGGAAAGUUCACACUGUGACGGUAUCUUACCAGAAAGGGACGGCUAACUACGUGCCAGCAGCCGCGGUAAUACGUAGGUCCCGAGCGUUGUCCGGAUUUAUUGGGCGUAAAGCGAGCGCAGGCGGUUAGAUAAGUCUGAAGUUAAAGGCUGUGGCUUAACCAUAAUACGCUUUGGAAACUGUUUAACUUGAGUGCAAGAGGGGAGAGUGGAAUUCCAUGUGUAGCGGUGAAAUGCGUAGAUAUAUGGAGGAACACCGGUGGCGAAAGCGGCUCUCUGGCUUGUAACUGACGCUGAGGCUCGAAAGCGUGGGGAGCAAACAGG
This 763-nucleotide ribosomal RNA is filed under the name uncultured Streptococcus sp. RNAcentral's name for it is "bacterial SSU rRNA". It matches the Rfam family "Bacterial small subunit ribosomal RNA", at positions 28 to 776 of the family's 1533-position model. Lineage: Bacteria; Bacillati; Bacillota; Bacilli; Lactobacillales; Streptococcaceae. The record is from RNAcentral.